AAAGUUUUAAGUUAAACAAACUAAUAGCCUUCAAAGCUAUAAAUACAAGAAAUAUCUUUUAAACUUUA
Molecule: transfer RNA, 68 nt
Filed under: Propsilocerus taihuensis
Lineage: Eukaryota; Metazoa; Arthropoda; Insecta; Diptera; Chironomidae
Description: tRNA-Trp
Source: RNAcentral